Long non-coding RNA from Saccostrea cuccullata (small rock oyster), 718 nucleotides. RefSeq lists it as uncharacterized. NCBI's taxonomy places the organism in Eukaryota, Metazoa, Mollusca, Bivalvia, Ostreida, Ostreidae. The record is from RefSeq and is a predicted model, not a curated record. The transcript is spliced from 3 exons.
AUAUAAAUAUAAUAUUUUAUCAUAUAAAUCUUAUAAUAUAAUAAUAUCUAUAAUUGUCUAUUGUGUGCACUUAGAAAUAAAAUGGAAACCUUAGCAGUUUCGUCAAUUUUACCUGGAUGUAUCAAACACAUCAGCAGCUGUCUCCACCUCAUUAACACCACAGAGGGUUAGAUGCUACACGGACAACACUACAGACCAAGCCACGCCCCCUGCUGUGAUUGACAUUCCUUGUACACGACAGCACGAUACGUCAUCAUAGAAACCACAUAUAAUGCUCCCGAAAAUGGUGUAUAGACUGGACAUAUGCUAGAAAUCUGUGAAAUAGAUAUUAAUGGAUGUCAUACAGAAUGUUUCGGGAAUACGUGCUACUCAAAUGGUGUAUGUGACACAUGUGGAGGACACUUGGGAAAUACCUGUCAAAAUAAUUGCUCCUCCACAUGUUAUAACGGGGCUUGUGAAAAAUACAGCGGAUUCUGUAAUCGUGGGUGUGAGUCUGGAUUCUGAGGAGUUAAUUGUACUGAGAGAUGUAGCGUUCAUUGUUUGAAUGAGAUUUGUGAUCAUGGCAAUGGAACCUGUAUCAGAGGAUGCAACGUUAAUUUUGCGGGAGCUAUGUGCCAGAUCAAGCAGUCCUCAGAGAGAAGUACAAACAAACCUAACGUUUAUUCAGCUCUGUACGGUGUUAUCACAGUUCUUGCAAAAGUGCUUUUUUCAACAUAGU